AUGCUCUCCCAAGGCUCAGCAUACUCUGUGUACAUGGUGUACAAGUUAGCCAACGAUUCAUAUGGGUUGACCGACGGUUACUACGGCCAAGAAUUGCCGGUCCAGAAGGCAUCAGUGAGCGUUGGAGGCACUCACCAAACCCGCAAGGUCUGCCUCCAACCUAACCCGCAAAGAAGCAUGAGACGGAACUAUCAUGCAGCGCUUCCUCGCAAAAGAGCUGAUGGUUGGAUCGAGCUGGAGCUGGGCGAGUUUAUUUGCGAGGGGCACGAAUAUGGCGAUGUGUCCUUCGGUCUGUCAGAGAUGAAUGAUUUGAGAAGGAAGAACGGUCUUAUCGUGCAGGGUAUUGAGAUUAGGCAUAAGAUUUGA
This 366-nucleotide ribosomal RNA is filed under the name Triticum aestivum (bread wheat). RNAcentral's name for it is "partial small subunit ribosomal RNA". Lineage: Eukaryota; Viridiplantae; Streptophyta; Magnoliopsida; Poales; Poaceae. The record is from RNAcentral.